UCCUUAGCUCUUUUUUUAUUAUCAUUUUCCUCAGCACAAAUAAGUCUUUAUAUCUUUCACAUAAUUAUCAUUUGUUGACUUUACACACAAAUCGAGAUGUCAAACUUACAACCCAAUGCAACAGUUGAAGUGCAUUUCUUGUACAAGAUUAUAUUUUUCUAAAAUUUGGGUUAAAAAAAGAUCCAGAUCAGAAAUAUCUGAGCGCUGGUUUUCAGUCCUGGUAUCAAAUAUUAUGGCAAAGACUGUUUGGUAGAUAAAGUCUAAAUGUUGGGGUUAAGAGUCAUGUAUUGUAGCUGAAAGCACUGAAAACUAAUUUUAAACAAAAAUUGAAGCGAUUUUAAAAAGUGUGAAAUUUAUACACCACAGAAAAAAAGUAUUUUUUGCUUUUUUUCUGACAUAUCCAUAAAUUUAAGUUGACAUUAUGGAGGCUGUAAAAUUAGAGGUUAUAAAAGCAUGUGUUUUAAUUUCAUUAAAGUGCUCAGCUCUAAGUGGGAUGAUGGUUUAUUUCUGAAAACAUUUUGCUUGAAUAAAAAAAAAAAGUUACUUGAA
Non-coding RNA from Xyrichtys novacula (pearly razorfish), 549 nucleotides. The record is from the annotation of a GenBank genome assembly. Lineage: Eukaryota; Metazoa; Chordata; Actinopteri; Labriformes; Labridae.